CUACACGACGAACCGGAAGUGGUUUUAUAUCGACUGUCUGCUCUUUAGCAAGCUAAAUUACCUUUAAAGAUUCUUCUUUACGAUUUUUGGAAACGGACCAACGCGAGAUUUUUGUGUCAUUUUCUCCAGUGGAUCUUGGUACAGCGCCACCACAGGCGCAGAGCGGGAAGACAGCUGAACUGCACCAGGCUCGGUGAGAGCUGAAAGGCCUGCUGAGAACAAUGGCUGACAUCAGGAGAAACAUGCAGGAUCACCACCUGAACUUCUUAAGGAAGGCGGAAAGAGGGCUCGCUCUCAAACCUCCACCUACACCUUGAGUCCUGGGAUUUGUGCAGAGAAGGAGUGCUGAUCGUAUUCAAAAAUGUGUGCAGAUGGAAUGAGCAGGAUCUGGAUUGAUUAGCUGCACAGAUUGAAGCGAUCAGAAAACUCCACGAAUAUCCGCAAAUGACUGCUUGGACGUGGCUUUGAAACUUCGUCUGAAAUGAAUUAAAUGACUUCCUCUAUGAAAAUAUGAGAAACUUUUAUUUUACUCUAAGGAAAACCUUCAACAUGGUAGUUAUGUAGUGGAUUGUUUUGAGUGAUACACAGUUAAAAAGAAGCACAAAAAUACAAAUAAAAAAAAAUUGUGUGCAUUUAUUGUAUUUUUUAUAAUUUAUUGUCAUACAUUUCUUAUCAUGAUGCAUCGUUGUCGCAAUAAAUUCCAAUUAAUG
Molecule: long non-coding RNA, 710 nt
Organism: Xiphophorus maculatus (southern platyfish)
Lineage: Eukaryota; Metazoa; Chordata; Actinopteri; Cyprinodontiformes; Poeciliidae
Exons: 5
Source: RefSeq, a predicted model, not a curated record